AUUGAACGCUGGCGGCAUGCCUUACACAUGCAAGUCGAACGGUAACAGGUCUUCGGAUGCUGACGAGUGGCGAACGGGUGAGUAAUACAUCGGAACGUGCCUAGUAGUGGGGGAUAACUACUCGAAAGAGUGGCUAAUACCGCAUGAGAUCUACGGAUGAAAGCGGGGGAUCGCAAGACCUUGUGCUACUAGAGCGGCCGAUGGCAGAUUAGGUAGUUGGUGGGAUAAAAGCUUACCAAGCCGACGAUCUGUAGCUGGUCUGAGAGGACGAUCAGCCACACUGGGACUGAGAAACGGCCCAGACUCCUACGGGAGGCAGCAGUGGGGAAUUUUGGACAAUGGGCGCAAGCCUGAUCCAGCAAUGCCGCGUGCAGGAUGAAGGCCUUCGGGUUGUAAACUGCUUUUGUACGGAACGAAAAGCCCCGGGUUAAUACCCUAGGGUCAUGACGGUACCGUAAGAAUAAGCACCGGCUAACUACGUGCCAGCCGCCGCCGUAA
Molecule: ribosomal RNA, 498 nt
Filed under: uncultured bacterium
Lineage: Bacteria
Description: partial 16S ribosomal RNA
Rfam family: Bacterial small subunit ribosomal RNA
Source: RNAcentral